This 490-nucleotide ribosomal RNA is filed under the name uncultured bacterium. RNAcentral describes it as "partial 16S ribosomal RNA". It matches the Rfam family "Bacterial small subunit ribosomal RNA", at positions 30 to 507 of the family's 1533-position model. The record is from RNAcentral.
AUUGAACGCUGGCGGCAGGCCUAACACAUGCAAGUCGAACGGUAACAGGAAACGGCUUGCUGUUUCGCUGACGAGUGGCGGCCGGGUGAGUAAUGUCUGGGAAACUGCCUGAUGGAGGGGGAUAACUACUGGAAACGGUAGCUAAUACCGCAUAACGUCGCAAGACCAAAGAGGGGGACCCUCGGGCCUCUUGCCAUCGGAUGUGCCCAGAUGGGAUUAGCUUGUUGGUGGGGUAACGGCUCACCAAGGCGACGAUCCCUAGCUGGUCUGAGAGGAUGACCAGCCACACUGGAACUGAGACACGGUCCAGACUCCUACGGGAGGCAGCAGUGGGGAAUAUUGCACAAUGGGCGCAAGCCUGAUGCAGCCAUGCCGCGUGUAUGAAGAAGGCCUUCGGGUUGUAAAGUACUUUCAGCGGGGAGGAAGGGAGUAAAGUUAAUACCUUUGCUCAUUGACGUUACCCGCAGAAGAAGCACCGGCUAACUCCGUG